This 406-nucleotide ribosomal RNA is filed under the name uncultured bacterium. RNAcentral describes it as "partial 16S ribosomal RNA". It matches the Rfam family "Bacterial small subunit ribosomal RNA", at positions 30 to 526 of the family's 1533-position model. The record is from RNAcentral.
AUUGAACGCUGGCGGCAGGCCUAACACAUGCAAGUCGAACGAGUGGCGGACGGGUGAGUAAUGUCUGGGAAACUGCCUGAUGGAGGGGGAUAACUACUGGAAACGGUAGCUAAUACCGCAUACCAUCGGAUGUGCCCAGAUGGGAUUGGCUAGUAGGUGGGGUAACGGCUCACCUAGGCGACGAUCCCUAGCUGGUCUGAGAGGAUGACGACCCACACUGGAACUGAGACACGGUCCCGAGUCCUACUAAGAUAAACAGGUACAAAUAUUGCACAAUGGGCGCAAGCCUGAUUCAGCCAUGCCGCGUGUAUGAAGAAGGCCUUCGGGUUGUAAAGUACUUUCAGCGGGGAGGCGUUACCCGCAGAAGAAGCACCGGCUAACUCCGUGCCAGCAGCCGCGGUAAUAC